UAAACUUUUAUUUUGUUUGGAUGCUCGCGCGCAGUUAAACGGGAAGCAGAAGGCACGUCGUGUGAACCAUGUGGCGCCGAACUGCGCUGCUCCCGCAACGGUGAAUGAUCCGCCCCGCCAUCGUACGAAUGUGUACGCGUGCGGCAAACUGGUUCAAGGCCACUGCGCCUGCGUCGCGUGGGAAGGCGAACCGACCCAAUCGUCAGCCCGGAUACCGGCCAGACCAUGAGCGGGAUC
RNAcentral lists this non-coding RNA (237 nucleotides) under unidentified. The record is from RNAcentral.